RNAcentral lists this ribosomal RNA (635 nucleotides) under Campylobacter fetus subsp. testudinum. RNAcentral describes it as "bacterial LSU rRNA". It matches the Rfam family "Bacterial large subunit ribosomal RNA", at positions 1814 to 2449 of the family's 2925-position model. Lineage: Bacteria; Pseudomonadati; Campylobacterota; Epsilonproteobacteria; Campylobacterales; Campylobacteraceae. The record is from RNAcentral.
CACAGCACUCUGCUAACACGUAAGUGGAUGUAUAGGGUGUGACGCCUGCCCGGUGCUCGAAGGUUAAUUGAUGAUGUUAGCUAUGCGAAGCAUUUGAUCGAAGCCCGAGUAAACGGCGGCCGUAACUAUAACGGUCCUAAGGUAGCGAAAUUCCUUGUCGGUUAAAUACCGACCUGCAUGAAUGGCGUAACGAGAUGGGAGCUGUCUCAAAGAGGGAUCCAGUGAAAUUGUAGUGGAGGUGAAAAUUCCUCCUACCCGCGGCAAGACGGAAAGACCCCGUGGACCUUUACUACAGCUUGACACUGCUACUUGGAUAAAGAUGCGCAGGAUAGGUGGGAGGCUUUGAUCCAUAGACCCUGGUUUAUGGUGAGCCAUUGUUGAGAUACCACUCUUCUUUAUUCGGGUAGCUAACUAGCCUAAGUUAUCCUUAGGUAGGACAAUGUCUGGUGGGUAGUUUGACUGGGGCGGUCGCCUCCCAAAAUGUAACGGAGGCUUACAAAGGUUGGCUCAGAACGGUUGGAAAUCGUUCGUAGAGUAUAAAGGCAUAAGCCAGCUUAACUGCGAGACAUACACGUCAAGCAGAGACGAAAGUCGGUCUUAGUGAUCCGGUGGUUCUGUGUGGAAGGGCCAUCGCU